Molecule: ribosomal RNA, 434 nt
Filed under: uncultured Oscillospiraceae bacterium
Lineage: Bacteria; Bacillati; Bacillota; Clostridia; Eubacteriales; Oscillospiraceae
Description: bacterial SSU rRNA
Rfam family: Bacterial small subunit ribosomal RNA
Source: RNAcentral
ACGGAAGGCAGCAGUGGGGAAUAUUGGACAAUGGGGGAAACCCUGAUCCAGCGACGCCGCGUGAGUGAAGAAGUAUUUCGGUAUGUAAAGCUCUAUCAGCAAGGAAGAAAAUGACGGUACUUGACUAAGAAGCUCCGGCUAGAUACGUGCCAGCAGCCGCGGUAAUACGUAUGGAGCAAGCGUUAUCCGGAUUUACUGGGUGUAAAGGGCGUGUAGGCGGGACAUCAAGUCAGAUGUGAAAGCACGAGGCUCAACUUCGUGUCUGCAUUUGAAACUGACGUUCUUGAGUGUUGGGGAGGCUAACGGAACUCCUAGUGUAGCGGUGAAAUGCGUAGAUAUUAGGAAGAACACCAGUGGCGAAGGCGGUUAGCUGGACAAUAACUGACGCUGAGGCGCGAAAACGUGGGUAGCAAACAGGAUUAGAUACCCUGGUA